CCUACGGGUGGCAGCAGUAGGGAAUAUUGCUCAAUGGGGGAAACCCUGAAGCAGCAACGCCGCGUGGAGGAUGAAGGUUUUCGGAUUGUAAACUUCUUUUGUUAGAGAAGAUAAUGACGGUAUCUAACGAAUAAGCACCGGCUAACUCCGUGCCAGCAGCCGCGGUAAUACGGAGGGUGCAAGCGUUACUCGGAAUCACUGGGCGUAAAGAGCGCGUAGGCGGGAUAGCAAGUCAGAUGUGAAAUCCUAUGGCUUAACCAUAGAACUGCAUUUGAAACUGUUAUUCUAGAGUAUGGGAGAGGUAGGUGGAAUGCUUGGUGUAGGGGUGAAAUGCGUAGAGAUCAAGAGGAAUACUGAUUGCGAAGGCGGCCUGCUAGAACAUAACUGACGCUGAUGCGCGAAAGCGUGGGGAGCAAACAGGAUUAGAUACCCCAGUAGUC
Molecule: ribosomal RNA, 440 nt
Filed under: uncultured bacterium
Lineage: Bacteria
Description: partial 16S ribosomal RNA
Rfam family: Bacterial small subunit ribosomal RNA
Source: RNAcentral